AUUCUGGGAACUUUUCAGAGGUU
Molecule: unclassified non-coding RNA, 23 nt
Filed under: Mus musculus (house mouse)
Lineage: Eukaryota; Metazoa; Chordata; Mammalia; Rodentia; Muridae
Description: oocyte_clustered_small_RNA10627
Source: RNAcentral